AUGGCUCGUAAGCAGCUGAAUAUGACCGUGUCAGUCGGCGGUCGAGCAGACAGCAGCAACUGCGCUGCUCCUACUCGUUGGAGUGGCGCCCGUGGCAACACCACCGCCGCGGCCGCGCACCUGCCGGCCUCGGGAACCUCCAUGGCUGACCUCACACAGCGCCGCCCCGUUUUGGCCUCAAACGCGCAGUCCCGCGCCAUUCCUCUCCACCUUGCACCGCCGUGGCCUGUACUCCCAGGAGUGAAUUGCAGAAAACAUCCACAUUUAAGAUUAGGGUUGCAGAAACCACACUUUUACAGUUUUAUGCCAAAAAUCACUAAUUCUGAGGUUAAUUUUUUGCAAAUGACACUAAGUGGCCUAUUUGUCCGUUUUAUUGACAAUUAUGACAGAUAG
This 393-nucleotide ribosomal RNA is filed under the name Triticum aestivum (bread wheat). Its description in RNAcentral is "partial small subunit ribosomal RNA". The record is from RNAcentral. Lineage: Eukaryota; Viridiplantae; Streptophyta; Magnoliopsida; Poales; Poaceae.